RNAcentral lists this long non-coding RNA (3424 nucleotides) under Homo sapiens (human). Its description in RNAcentral is "HSALNT0225328". The record is from RNAcentral. Lineage: Eukaryota; Metazoa; Chordata; Mammalia; Primates; Hominidae.
ACACAUAAUGAUUUGGAGUUCCAUUUCUUAGAAAAAAUGAAGAUUGACCCCGAUUCUUUAAGUGCUGGGAGUAUUACCAUAAUAAAUGGUAUCACUGCAUGAUAAGAGCAAAUGUGUGAUUUUAGUCAACAUAUUUUCUACAUGACUAAUGAGAGACUUGCAGCUUGGAUACACAGCAGUGUCUAGAGUCAGUGGCUAAGCCGUGGUAGGUCUCUAUGAAGUGGGGAAAUAUUUCUGACCAACCCCAGGGAGAUGUUUGCAGUGUGGAGUGGAAGCUGCCCUGCUGUGGUUUAGCACUGCAAAAACUCUCCCUUACAUAUGCAAUUUGCAUAUUCCUUUAUAUACUGAAAGGCCACCUGAACAUAGGUGGUCAAAAGACCUUUUUUCUACCUUCCUUCUUCUGUUCUUUCCAUUGGAUCUUUGAUUCUGAGAAGUCUGCCCCAUAGAAAGGAGGAGGCUUAACUCUAGGAAUGCUUCCUGUUCUCCUUCUCUUUCGUCUUUCUUCUCACUCCCAGCCCUGAAGGCAUCACAGAGGCAUCAGUGAUGCUUUUUUUUCCUCCUCCACUCCAGUCUGCUCCGCAGAACCCCAUGUCCUCAGAUAAAAUGCCACCAAAAAGUCUGAAGGUGCUUUGCAAUGGAAAUGGAUUAUUGAAGACACAAAGACCCGUAGUAAAUUUUACAGUUUAUACUUCUGUGAUGUUGUUAUUCUUAAAAUUGACAAGAAAAAUCAGGAAAUUUACAUAACUCCUGUGAGUUUCUAGGACAAAUGAGUUUAUGACUAUAAAACACCUUGUAAUCUAAUCUACAGAACUGUAGGUAAAUAUAAUUGGGCACUAUGAUUGUUGUUGUCAUCGUCUUUCUUGUGAAGAGUGAUAAUCCUGAGAAAAUCAAAAGCUAGCUCUGUGCCAAGUUCAAGUUGAAAGAGCAAGAGAAAGCCAGCUGGGCGGCUGCAGUUCACUUUAUGGUGGGCCCCAGGAAGCUGAGGCAUCCAGUCACCCAGCUGCUGAUCGGCUGAGUUAGGAAUCAGACUCCUAGCUUUUGUUCCAGAAUCAAGACAUGCCCCUUGAGGCUCAGCCAUAAGAGCUUCACUUUGACCCUCAGAGCCCUGCUCUUUGCCUGGAUGGUUCACCUUUGUGGACACUGUCCCAGCCAGCCAGCCUCUUCCCAUUGUUCCUUCCCUAGCCCCUGCCCUGCCCUGAUUGGUGAAGUUGCUGCCAGGGACCAGGAGGCCACCCUCCCAAUUGUUUAUUAUAAACAGGGGGAGAAAAGUGGGGAAGGAAAAGUGCCAGAGGAGAAUCUCAUAUCUAGCUGCCCAAGCCAAUCCACUGAACACCCAUUACAUAUGCUGGCUAAGCGUCCAUUGAUCUUUCCCAUUAGAACAAUGAUAGUCUCCAAGUAUAUAUGGGUUACAGGUUUUGGAACACAGUGAAAGUGGAUAAUGGUUUUUAUGGGAAAAUGCAUUCUGAGAUGGAAAUCACCAACUUAGUAACAAACAUUUAGGACUUAAUGCUGUCCACAAAUUGAGGACUACCUUUCAUUUAUGCAGCAGUUACAAUUCCAUAGCCAGAAGUGCUGACAUUCCAUUAAAGAAGAGCAAGAAGCGAUGGGGAAAACACCCUGAAAACUACAAUAAUCUUUGAUGCCAAGAGAGAGGAGCAGCAAACAUUAUAAGAAUAACAUACAGCAAACUUUGCCAAAUAAUGGGGAGUUCCUCACACAUGAAGCUUGCUUCCUGAGAAACAACAGAUCCACUUAAAGACUACUCUUAGGAAUAUUUUCUUUGGCUUUGUCAAACAUUUUGGACUUUUCUGCAACCAUGUCCCAAUAAAUGUACCUCAUUAAAAAUAUAAAACUAGCUGGGCACAGUGGCUCAUGCCUGUAAUCCCAGCACUUUGGGAUGCUGAAGUGAGAGGAUCCCAUGAUCCCAGGAGUUUAAGACCAGCCUGGGCAACAUACAGAAAGCCAGUCUCUACCAGAAAAACAAAACAAAACAAAAAAACAGCGAGGCAUGUUGGCACAUGGCAAAUGCCUAUGGUUCCAGCUACUCAGGAGGAAAAAAAUUUUUUUUGAAGUAUGUAUUCAAAUGAUAUGUAUUGCUUUAUUAUUGUUAUAUAGUGAUACAUAAUCAGUGAAGAAAUAAUUAAAACAAUAAAAUGAUUAAGAAGAAAAUAUAGGCCAGGUGCAGUGGCUCAUGUGUGCAAUCCAAGCACAUUGGAAGGCCGAGACGGGAAGUUCAGUUGAGCAUCAGAGUUUGAGACCAGCCUGGGCAACAAAGUGAGACGCUGUCUCAAAAAGAAAAAAAAAGAAGAAAAUGAAAGAAAAAGAAAAAAAAAAGAAAAAUUAGCCAGGCACGGUAUGGUGGCACACACUUGUAGACUCAUAGUUCUCCCAACUACUGGGAAGGCUGAGGUGGGAGGUUGACUUGAGCCCGGGAGUUUGAGGAUGCAGUGAGCUAUGGUCGUGCUACUGCACUCCCGCCUGGGUGACAGAGUGAGAAUCACUCUCCAAGAGGAAAAAAAAAAAAAAGACAAGAGAAGAAAAGGAAAUAUGACCUAAAUACAUUUAAUGACCUCUUUUAACCUUUUAGAGAUCAUGCGUAAACACACCACACAUAUAUUUUAAUGAAAUAUUCAGUCAUAUUGAAAUAUGGUAGUAUAGUCUGCUUUUUAACUUAAAUAUAGUACAGAUCUCUUUCCAUGUCGUGUAUAGUAUAACAAUUAAGGUGAAUAUGUUUAGUAUUUCAUUUUAUGGCUGACUAUAUUUUAUUUCACUAAUCCACAUUUGACAAUCAGAUGAUUGUAAUAUUUUCACAACUUUAUAUUCUCAUAAUUCAGUUGUUGUACUAAGGCAUAUUUAUCUUUUUUGUAUAUGAAAUUUAUCAGAUACUUCAAUUGUUUUAAGCAAGCUUUAUGAGAUUACUUUUCUAGGUCUACUGGUGUCUGUGGUUUCUAAGAUCACGUUGCCUGUAUUUCUAGACAAAUCAGAUAAUGUGAUUUCAGAACACCUGAUUAUUUCAGUCAAUUGAAAGAAACAACUGGUCAACCCAGUGCAUAAUAUUAUCUUUUUUUUCCCCUCAUAAGUAAGAGACACAUAAAAUUCUUAGGCUAGUUUACAGUCUCAUACUAGUUUAUAUGAGACAGAAAGUGCCGACUGACGGAAGACCCAAGCUGACAGCAAGCUUUCGUUUCUCAGAUGCCUUAUGAAAAGAACCCCUUAUGUUAAUUUUCUCAGUUAAGUCCUACAGUUCUCCGUUAAUUUCUCAAUGAAAUCCAGAGGACUAAGUUAACUGACCCUUUAGCUACCCCCGGUAAUGAAUCGUUAGCUACAAUGUUAAUAGAGACAGAAGGAAAUAUGGUAUUGCCUAUAGUACAGGAGAAAUAAAAAUUUGGUGAAUGCCAUUGAAAACAAAAUUGUAUUUCAGGAC